This 459-nucleotide ribosomal RNA is filed under the name uncultured bacterium. RNAcentral describes it as "partial 16S ribosomal RNA". It matches the Rfam family "Bacterial small subunit ribosomal RNA", at positions 338 to 795 of the family's 1533-position model. The record is from RNAcentral.
CCUACGGGUGGCAGCAGUGAGGAAUAUUGGUCAAUGGCCGGAAGCCUGAACCAGCCAAGCCGCGUGAAGGACGAAGGUGCCAUGGAUUGUAAACUUCUUUUGUCAAGGGACAAAAUCAGGCUCGAGAGCCUGACCGAGGGUACUUGAAGAAAAAGCAUCGGCUAACUCCGUGCCAGCAGCCGCGGUAAUACGGAGGAUGCGAGCGUUAUCCGGAUUUAUUGGGUUUAAAGGGUGCGUAGGCGGACGGUUAAGUCAGCGGUAAAAGGCAGGGGCUCAACCCCGGCGAGCCGUUGAAACUGGCUGUCUUGAGUGGUCGAGAGGUAUGCGGAAUGCGCAGUGUAGCGGUGAAAUGCUUAGAUAUUGCGCAGAACUCCGAUUGCGAAGGCAGCAUACCGGCGGCGAUCUGACGCUGAGGCACGAAAGCGUAGGUAUCGAACAGGAUUAGAUACCCGAGUAGUC